CCUACGGGUCGCACCAGUGGGGAAUAUUGCACAAUGGGCGCAAGCCUGAUGCAGCCAUGCCGCGUGUAUGAAGAAGGCCUUCGGGUUGUAAAGUACUUUCAGCGGGGAGGAAGGCGAUAAGGUUAAUAACCUUGUCGAUUGACGUUACCCGCAGAAGAAGCACCGGCUAACUCCGUGCCAGCAGCCGCGGUAAUACGGAGGGUGCAAGCGUUAAUCGGAAUUACUGGGCGUAAAGCGCACGCAGGCGGUCUGUCAAGUCGGAUGUGAAAUCCCCGGGCUCAACCUGGGAACUGCAUUCGAAACUGGCAGGCUGGAGUCUUGUAGAGGGGGGUAGAAUUCCAGGUGUAGCGGUGAAAUGCGUAGAGGUCUGGAGGAAUACCGGUGGCAAAGGCGGCCCCCUGGACAAAGACUGACGCUCAGGUGCGAAAGCGUGGGGAGCAAACACGACUAGACACCCUUGUAGUC
RNAcentral lists this ribosomal RNA (465 nucleotides) under uncultured bacterium. RNAcentral describes it as "bacterial SSU rRNA". It matches the Rfam family "Bacterial small subunit ribosomal RNA", at positions 338 to 795 of the family's 1533-position model. The record is from RNAcentral.